Molecule: ribosomal RNA, 468 nt
Filed under: uncultured bacterium
Lineage: Bacteria
Description: partial 16S ribosomal RNA
Rfam family: Bacterial small subunit ribosomal RNA
Source: RNAcentral
GACGAACGCUGGCGGCGUGCUUAACACAUGCAAGUCGAACGGAAAGGCCCUGCUUUUGUGGGGUGCUCGAGUGGCGAACGGGUGAGUAACACGUGAGUAACCUGCCCUUGACUUUGGGAUAACUUCAGGAAACUGGGGCUAAUACCGGAUAGGAGCUCCUGCUGCAUGGUGGGGGUUGGAAAGUUUCGGCGGUUGGGGAUGGACUCGCGGCUUAUCAGCUUGUUGGUGGGGUAGUGGCUUACCAAGGCUUUGACGGGUAGCCGGCCUGAGAGGGUGACCGGCCACAAUGGGACUGAGAGACGGCCCAGAAUGCAACGGGAGGCAGCAGUGGGGAAUAUUGCACAAUGGGCGGAAGCCUGAUGCAGCAACGCCGCGUGCGGGAUGACGGCCUUCGGGUUGUAAACCGCUUUCGCCUGUGACGAAGAGUGAGUGACGGUAAUGGGUAAAGAAGCACCGGCUAACUACGUG